UAACACUUUGAACAGAACCUUUUCCAAAAGAUUUUUCACCCAUAAUAACUGCUCUUUUGUGGUCUUGCAAAGCGCCGGCCAAAAUCUCCGAAGCCGAAGCUGAUCCAUCAUUAAUCAUAACAACAAUCGGCAAUCCGUCUGCAAUAUCUCCGGAAGUAGCGCUAUAUUUACUGGUAUCUGCUUCAUCGCGAGAGCGUGUAGAAACAAUUUCCCCUUUAUCCAAAAACAAAUCCGAAAUAGCCACCGCCUGAUCCAAUAAACCUCCGGGGUUAUUGCGA
RNAcentral lists this non-coding RNA (278 nucleotides) under bovine gut metagenome. The record is from RNAcentral.